Molecule: ribosomal RNA, 301 nt
Filed under: uncultured bacterium
Lineage: Bacteria
Description: partial 16S ribosomal RNA
Rfam family: Bacterial small subunit ribosomal RNA
Source: RNAcentral
CAGCAGCCGCGGUAAUACGUAGGUCCCGAGCGUUGUCCGGAUUUAUUGGGCGUAAAGCGAGCGCAGGCGGUUAGAUAAGUCUGAAGUUAAAGGCUGUGGCUUAACCAUAGUACGCUUUGGAAACUGUUUGACUUGAGUGCAAGAGGGGGGAGUGGAAUUCCAUGUGUAGCGGUGAAAUGCGUAGAUAUAUGGAGGAACACCGGUGGCGAAAGCGGCUCUCUGGCUUGUAACUGACGCUGAGGCUCGAAAGCGUGGGGAGCAAACAGGAUUAGAUACCCGGGUAGUCCCUGUCUCUUAUAAA